GUGAGGAAUUUUCCGCAAUGGGCGAAAGCCUGACGGAGCAAUGCCGCGUGAAGGAUGAAGGCCUAUGGGUUGUAAACUUCUUUUCUUAGAGAAGAAUAUUGACGGUAUCUGAGGAAUAAGCAUCGGCUAACUCUGUGCCAGCAGCCGCGGUAAGACAGAGGAUGCAAGCGUUAUCCGGAAUGAUUGGGCGUAAAGCGUCUGUAGGUGGCUUCAAAAGUCUCCUGUCAAAGAUCAGGGCUUGACCCUGGGCCGGCAGGAGAAAGUCUGAGGCUAGAGUUUGGUAGGGGCAGAGGGAAUUACCGGUGGAGCGGUGAAAUGCGUAGAGAUCGGGAGGAACACCAAAGGCGAAAGCACUCUGCUGGGCCACAACUGACACUGAGAGACGAAAGCGAGGGGAGCAAAAGGGAUUAGAAACCCCUGUAGUCC
Molecule: ribosomal RNA, 426 nt
Filed under: uncultured bacterium
Lineage: Bacteria
Description: partial 16S ribosomal RNA
Rfam family: Bacterial small subunit ribosomal RNA
Source: RNAcentral